GGCUCAGGAUGAACGCUGGCGGCGUGCCUAACACAUGCAAGUCGAGCGAUUUACUUCGGUAAAGAGCGGCGGACGGGUGAGUAACGCGUGGGUAACCUGCCCUGUACACACGGAUAACAUACCGAAAGGUAUGCUAAUACGAGAUAAUAUACUUUUAUCUCAUGGUAGAAGUAUCAAAGCUCUGGCGGUACAGGAUGGACCCGCGUCUGAUUAGCUAGUUGGUAAGGUAACGGCUUACCAAGGCGACGAUCAGUAGCCGACCUGAGAGGGUGAUCGGCCACAUUGGAACUGAGACACGGUCCAAACUCCUACGGGAGGCAGCAGUGGGAAUAUUGCACAAUGGGCGAAAGCCUGAUGCAGCAACGCCGCGUGAGCGAUGAAGGCCUUCGGGUCGUAAAGCUCUGUCCUCAAGGAAGGUAAUGACGGUACUUGAGGAGGAAGCCCCGGCUAACUACGUG
RNAcentral lists this ribosomal RNA (458 nucleotides) under uncultured bacterium. Its description in RNAcentral is "bacterial SSU rRNA". It matches the Rfam family "Bacterial small subunit ribosomal RNA", at positions 21 to 507 of the family's 1533-position model. The record is from RNAcentral.